UUUCCUUUCUUCACUCUUCUUUCCUUUCUUCUUUCCUUCUUCCACUCUUCUUUCCUUCUUCCUCACUUCUUUCCUUCUUUUACUCUUCUUCCACUCUUCUUUCGUUCUUUCACUCUUCUUUUUUUUUUCUUCCUUUCUUAACUUUUGCAUUUCAUGCACUGGUAUUUCCUUCAGGAAAUGCAUUUUCUAGUUAUUAUUCUUUGUACCGAACUUCUGCGCUUAAUUCAGCUCGAACCGCUUAACUUAGAAACUUUGUUCAAACUUUGCUGCGUAGGUCUUGUAAAGGACACUUAUGCUAUGUAUUUUUCAUUUUUCUAAACUUUAUACUUUUUAAAAUGUUAAAUAAAAACUAAUACAAUUUCUCCCAUUGACUUACAUUGGGCCAUUAUGACAUCAUAAUAGGGUCUUUAAACUGGCUUGCACCUGUGCUUCACUGACACCUGCGCCAAGGUUCCAAGGCUCCUCUUCUCUCUGUCCCUCUCCAUUCAACUGUAUAACUAGGAAUACUAAUAGACACCUUCCAUACUCUACUUUUUUUUUCUCUCCAUCUUUCUCUCUAUCCCUCUGUCUACUUUCGCUCAAACUCCAUCUCUCUGCUUCACUCAAUUUUCUCUCCUUUCUUCAUUCCUUCUACCACUCUUCUUUUCUUUCUUCUUUCUUUCUUCCACUCUUCUUUCCUUUCUUCUUUCCUUCUUUCACUUCUUUCUUUUCGUCUUUCCUUCUUCCACUCUUCCUUACUUCUUCCACUCUCCUUUCCUUUCUUCUUUCCUUCUUCCACUCUUCUUUCCUUCUUCUACUCUUCUUUUCUUUCUUCACUCUUCUUUCCUUUUUUCCACUCUUCUUUCCUUCUUCCACUCUUCUUUUCUUCUUCCACUCUUCUUUUCUUUCUUCGCUUCUUUCCUUCUUUCACUCUUCUUUCUUUUCUUCAUUCUUGUUUCCUUUAUUCUUUCCUUUAUUAUUUCCUUCUUCCACUCUUCUUUCCUUCUUUUACUCUUCUUUCCUUUCUUCUUUCCUUCUUUCACUCUUCUUUCUUUUCUUCUUCCUUUCUUAACUUUUGCAUUUCAUGC
This is a long non-coding RNA of Clupea harengus (Atlantic herring), 1067 nucleotides long. NCBI's taxonomy places the organism in Eukaryota, Metazoa, Chordata, Actinopteri, Clupeiformes, Clupeidae. The record is from Ensembl.